RNAcentral lists this ribosomal RNA (330 nucleotides) under uncultured bacterium. RNAcentral's name for it is "bacterial SSU rRNA". It matches the Rfam family "Bacterial small subunit ribosomal RNA", at positions 568 to 898 of the family's 1533-position model. The record is from RNAcentral.
CGCGUAGGUGGUAGUGUAAGUCUGGGGUGGAAUCCCAGGGCUUAACCCUGGGACUGCCUUGGAAACUGUAUUACUUGAGUCAGUGAGGGGAGGGUAGAAUUCCUGGUGUAGCGGUGAAAUGCGUAGAUAUCAGGAGGAAGGCCUGUGGCGAAGGCGGCCCUCUGGCGCUGGACUGACACUGAGGCGCGAAAGCGUGGGGAGCAAACAGGAUUAGAUACCCUGGUAGUCCACGCCCUAAACGGUGGGCACUAGGUGUAGGGCUCGUAAGGGUUCUGUGCCGAAGGGAAACCAUUAAGUGCCCCGCCUGGGGAGUACGGCCGCAAGGUUGAA